Molecule: ribosomal RNA, 253 nt
Filed under: uncultured bacterium
Lineage: Bacteria
Description: partial 16S ribosomal RNA
Rfam family: Bacterial small subunit ribosomal RNA
Source: RNAcentral
UACGGAGGGUGCGAGCGUUGUCCGGAAUCACUGGGCGUAAAGGGCGCGUAGGCGGUGCCGUAAGCGUGUGGUGAAAGCUCGGGGCUCAACCCCGAGUCGGCCAUGCGAACUGCGGGACUCGAGCCCACUAGAGGCAGGCGGAAUUCCGGGUGUAGCGGUGGAAUGCGUAGAGAUCCGGAAGAACACCGGUGGCGAAGGCGGCCUGCUGGGGUGGAGCUGACGCUGAGGCGCGACAGCGUGGGGAGCAAACAGG